Molecule: small RNA, 167 nt
Filed under: Castor canadensis (American beaver)
Lineage: Eukaryota; Metazoa; Chordata; Mammalia; Rodentia; Castoridae
Description: TUC338 (ENSCCNG00000025057.1)
Source: RNAcentral
UUAAAGGCAUGGAGACUGAAGUCCUCUAUAUCCACAAAGCAGGUACAGCACAGGCAGCAGCAGUGCAGCUUUUCCACUGUCCCACCAUGUGCCUCAUGCUAGCCUAAGGGGAUGUGUUUAAGCUAAGAGAGCUAUUCAGUCUCUAUGGUGUUCAGUCCUUGGCUGCU